UACGUAGGUGGCAAGCGUUGUCCGGAUUUAUUGGGUUUAAAGGGUGCGUAGGCGGUGUCCUAAGUCAGUUGUGAAAUACGGCAGCUUAACUGUCGAGGUACAAUUGAUACUGGGACACUUGAGUACUGAUGAGGUAGGCGGAAUGGACGGUGUAGCGGUGAAAUGCUUAGAUAUCGUCCAGAACACCAAUUGCGAAGGCAGCUCACUACACAAUCAUUGACUCUGAGGCACGAAAGCGUGGGGAUCAAACAGG
This 253-nucleotide ribosomal RNA is filed under the name uncultured bacterium. RNAcentral describes it as "partial 16S ribosomal RNA". It matches the Rfam family "Bacterial small subunit ribosomal RNA", at positions 524 to 776 of the family's 1533-position model. The record is from RNAcentral.